RNAcentral lists this long non-coding RNA (344 nucleotides) under Elaeis guineensis (African oil palm). RNAcentral's name for it is "long non-coding RNA (EGUI_LNC006930)". Lineage: Eukaryota; Viridiplantae; Streptophyta; Magnoliopsida; Arecales; Arecaceae. The record is from RNAcentral.
UCCUCCUCACGGUGAGCCAUCUCAAUUAAAAUCAUAAAUCAUAAAUCAAAUUGGCAAGUAUACCUGGGCAGCCUCUCAAUUAAAAUAGCUAUCGUCACAUCCCAAGAGCAAUACAAAAACCUUAAAGACCUUCGAUGGCAAAGAUUUGAACAGCACCUGCAUCAAUUAAAGAAACAACAAUCUUGCAUCAUUAACUUUCAAAUUACUGAGUUCACUAUGAUUAAUCAUUAAUCUAGCUUACCAGAUAGUUUUCCUGCUAAAGGGGGUGGAAGAAUCUAAAAAGAGAACUGCUGCAACAUCGGCCAGCGCGAGGAAGAAGACGCCCGAACGCACCAGGCGAGAGG